Non-coding RNA from Phalacrocorax carbo (great cormorant), 867 nucleotides. NCBI's taxonomy places the organism in Eukaryota, Metazoa, Chordata, Aves, Suliformes, Phalacrocoracidae. The record is from RefSeq and is a predicted model, not a curated record.
GUAGCGCGUGCGCGCUCUGGGUGCUGUGGCGUGUUCGUCCGUUGGGAGUGCGUGUCGUGUAGGUGUUGCCGCUAUGAGUGGCUAGGCAGCAGGGCCGGGGGAUGGCGGGUGUCCUCUCGUUCCCUGGGCUGAGGAGCACUGCCCCUCACCAGUGGUGAGGAUGAGUCCCGCGGUCUGGGCCGUUCUCAGCUGGAGUAGGCUUAUAUGCAACUGGAUUGCCCUGGUCAAAAUCAUCUGCUGCUUUCACACUCCAGCCUUGAGAGUAGCUACAUCGUUUGACACUUCUGGGAGAUAUCCUUCGCACCACAGAUACCAUGCAUCAACAGAUACAGAGGAAGAUUGAAGAAACAUCAGGGACAGCCAAGAUAACAAGUCACAAGGAAGCUGGAAUUUCUGACCAGCCUGAACUGAAUACUUAGAUCUAAUUAAGAUGUCGUUAUCAGCCAUCUGUUCCUGGUCCUACUCUCUAUUUCUUCCAACAAAGAAGUGAUUCCAGGCAUGAAUUGGAGCAACAAUCACCUGAAACUACUGAAACGCUGCAAUGCAAGGGUGGGCCUGGCUUGCAGGGGAAGCAGCAAUUGGAGAAAUUGUUCCAAAUAACUUGGUGUCACUGUACGCAGCAGGGAGAAGCUCCAGAACACCUUCAAUACAUUGAUGACAUCAUCGUGUGGGGCAACACAGCGGAAGAAGUAUUUGAGAAAGGAGAGAAAAUAGUCCAAAUCCUUCUGAAAGCUGGUUUUGCCAUAAAACCAAAGUAAGGUGAAGGGACCUGCACAAGAGAUCCAGUUCUUAGGAACCAAAUGGCAAGAUGGACGUCAUCAGAUCCCAAUGGAUGUGAUAAACAAAAUAACAGCCAUGUCUCCACCA